This 434-nucleotide ribosomal RNA is filed under the name uncultured Clostridium sp. Its description in RNAcentral is "partial 16S ribosomal RNA". It matches the Rfam family "Bacterial small subunit ribosomal RNA", at positions 341 to 792 of the family's 1533-position model. Lineage: Bacteria; Bacillati; Bacillota; Clostridia; Eubacteriales; Clostridiaceae. The record is from RNAcentral.
ACGGAAGGCAGCAGUGGGGAAUAUUGCACAAUGGGGGAAACCCUGAUGCAGCGACGCCGCGUGAGUGAAGAAGUAUUUCGGUAUGUAAAGCUCUAUCAGCAGGGAAGAAAAUGACGGUACCUGACUAAGAAGCCCCGGCUAACUACGUGCCAGCAGCCGCGGUAAUACGUAGGGGGCAAGCGUUAUCCGGAUUUACUGGGUGUAAAGGGAGCGUAGGUGGCGUGGCAAGUCAGAAGUGAAAGCCCGGGGCUCAACCCCGGGACUGCUUUUGAAACUGUCAUGCUGGAGUGCAGGAGAGGUAAGUGGAAUUCCUAGUGUAGCGGUGAAAUGCGUAGAUAUUAGGAGGAACACCAGUGGCGAAGGCGGCUUACUGGACUGUAACUGACACUGAGGCUCGAAAGCGUGGGGAGCAAACAGGAUUAGAUACCCUGGUA